This 464-nucleotide ribosomal RNA is filed under the name uncultured bacterium. RNAcentral describes it as "partial 16S ribosomal RNA". It matches the Rfam family "Bacterial small subunit ribosomal RNA", at positions 339 to 795 of the family's 1533-position model. The record is from RNAcentral.
CUACGGGUUGCUGCAGUGGGGAAUAUUGCACAAUGGGCGCAAGCCUGAUGCAGCCAUGCCGCGUGUAUGAAGAAGGCCUUCGGGUUGUAAAGUACUUUCAGCGGGGAGGAAGGGAGUAAAGUUAAUACCUUUGCUCAUUGACGUUACCCGCAGAAGAAGCACCGGCUAACUCCGUGCCAGCAGCCGCGGUAAUACGGAGGGUGCAAGCGUUAAUCGGAAUUACUGGGCGUAAAGCGCACGCAGGCGGUUUGUUAAGUCAGAUGUGAAAUCCCCGAGCUCAACCUGGGAACUGCAUCUGAUACUGGCAAGCUUGAGUCUCGUAGAGGGGGGUAGAAUUCCAGGUGUAGCGGUGAAAUGCGUAGAGAUCUGGAGGAAUACCGGCGGCGAAGGCGGCCCCCUGGACGAAGACUGACGCUCAGGUGCGAAAGCGUGGGGAGCAAACAGGAUUAGAUACCCCUGUAGUC